GACGAACGCUGGCGGCGUGCUUAACACAUGCAAGUCGAACGGAAAGGCCCUGCUUUUGUGGGGUGCUCGAGUGGCGAACGGGUGAGUAACACGUGAGUAACCUGCCCUUGACUUUGGGAUAACUUCAGGAAACUGGGGCUAAUACCGGAUAGGAGCUCCUGCUGCAUGGUGGGGGUUGGAAAGUUUCGGCGGUUGGGGAUGGACUCGCGGCUUAUCAGCUUGUUGGUGGGGUAGUGGCUUACCAAGGCUUUGACGGGUAGCCGGCCUGAGAGGGUGAACGGCCACAUUGGGACUGAGAUACGGCCCAGACUCCUACGGGAGGCAGCAGUGGGGAAUAUUGCACAAUGGGCGGAAGCCUGAUGAAGCAACGCCGCGUGCGGGAUGACGGCCUUCGGGUUGUAAACCGCUUUCGCCUGUGACGAAGCGUGAGUGACGGUAAUGGGUAAAGAAGCACCGGCUAACUACGUG
RNAcentral lists this ribosomal RNA (468 nucleotides) under uncultured bacterium. RNAcentral's name for it is "partial 16S ribosomal RNA". It matches the Rfam family "Bacterial small subunit ribosomal RNA", at positions 28 to 507 of the family's 1533-position model. The record is from RNAcentral.